RNAcentral lists this small nucleolar RNA (94 nucleotides) under Zostera marina. RNAcentral's name for it is "Small nucleolar RNA snoR1". It matches the Rfam family "Small nucleolar RNA snoR1". From Rfam's summary of the family: snoR1 is a member of the C/D class of snoRNA which contain the C (UGAUGA) and D (CUGA) box motifs. Most of the members of the box C/D family function in directing site-specific 2'-O-methylation of substrate RNAs. Lineage: Eukaryota; Viridiplantae; Streptophyta; Magnoliopsida; Alismatales; Zosteraceae. The record is from Rfam by way of RNAcentral.
UUCAGUGAUGAGUAUUGCAUUUUCUGACACCUCUUGUAUGAGAAGGAUUUCUACGUGAGGUCCUCCAAUGAGCAAAGUAGCAAACUUCUGAGAU